AAAGAGAAAAAACACAAAGAGAAGGGGAAAACAGAGAAAGUGACGAAACAGAGGGAAAAAAGGACACAGAGAAAGCUACGAGUGUAGAAAAACAGAUGAGAACAAAAAGAGGGCUAAAAAUUAGGAAUAGACAUAAAUAGAUAUUAGAGUGAGGAAUGGUUUUAGGAGGUCAAAAAAAAUCGAGCAGCCUUCUUUUUUUUCACCAUUUUUUUAUUCAAGAAUACUUCAUUUUUCUCACUUAGCUUCCCCAAAUAAGCAUUUUUUACUUCUAAAAUCCAGCAAUGAAAAGCAGCUGAAUCACCAAUAAAAAUAUAGACCAACAGACCCGAAAACACCCCAAACCUCAGCUACAAAAUUCUAUUAAACUCUCAUAAAAAUUAGCGAUAAGAAUCUUCCAAAGUUCCUCCUUAACAAUCAUAAAUCAUCUGAAAGAUGCUAUUAAAGCAGCCCUUUCUCACAAAUAAUAACAAUUCCAAAAUAGCUCCAGCGACUGAGGAUUAGCCAAGGUCGCUUUCGAGGUCGCCAUUGAGGUUGUGGCCGAUCAGUUCUGCUCGGUUUAAAGGCCCCUGUUUUAGUUUUUUGUUCUGUUCAAAUUGUUGUUGCCGGAUGUUCUUGUACUCGCAUCACGAGAAGUUCUUAUAUAUAAAAGUUUCAUCUAAAGAUCCAUUUCCUUCCUAUACAGAAUAUUUGAGUUUCACUUGGCUGAUUUUAUUGAUGUGUUUAAUAUUUGAUUGGUGUUCAUAUUCACUAAGAUGAUUUGUUCAAAGGUGUAAAUUUUUUACAGCAUAUUCUUGUUUUAUCAUUUUGGUCUUGUUUAGUUACAUGAUCCCUUAUUCUUGAUUUACUUAUUUGUUGGAAUAGAGUCGCAUUUU
Molecule: long non-coding RNA, 872 nt
Filed under: Nicotiana benthamiana
Lineage: Eukaryota; Viridiplantae; Streptophyta; Magnoliopsida; Solanales; Solanaceae
Description: long non-coding RNA (NBEN_LNC030072)
Source: RNAcentral